RNAcentral lists this ribosomal RNA (842 nucleotides) under Knufia calcarecola. RNAcentral's name for it is "SSU rRNA". It matches the Rfam family "Eukaryotic small subunit ribosomal RNA", at positions 250 to 1093 of the family's 1831-position model. The record is from RNAcentral. Lineage: Eukaryota; Fungi; Ascomycota; Eurotiomycetes; Chaetothyriales; Trichomeriaceae.
UUCAUAAUUACUUAACGGAUUCCGCAUGGCCUUUGCGGCCGGCGAUGGUUCAUUCAAAUUUCUGCCCUAUCAACUUUCGAUGGUAGGAUAGUGGCCUACCAUGGUCUCAACGGGUAACGGGGAAUUAGGGUUCUAUUCCGGAGAGGGAGCCUGAGAAACGGCUACCACAUCCAAGGAAGGCAGCAGGCGCGCAAAUUACCCAAUCCCAAUUCGGGGAGGUAGUGACAAUAAAUACUGAUACAGGGCUCUUUUGGGUCUUGUAAUUGGAAUGAGUACAAUCUAAAUCCCUUAACGAGGAACAAUUGGAGGGCAAGUCUGGUGCCAGCAGCCGCGGUAAUUCCAGCUCCAAUAGCGUAUAUUAAAGUUGUUGCCGUUAAAAAGCUCGUAGUUGAACCUUGGGCCUGGCUGGUCUGUCCUCCUAAUCGAGCGCACGGAUUCGGUCGGGCCUUUCCUUCUGGGGAGCCCGAUGCCCUUCACUGGGUGUCGCGGGGAACCAGGACUUUUACCUUGAAAAAAUUAGAGUGUUCAAAGCAGGCCUUUGCUCGAAUACAUUAGCAUGGAAUAAUAGAAUAGGACAGAGGUUCUAUUUUGUUGGUUUCUAGGACCGCUGUAAUGAUUAAUAGGGAUAGUCGGGGGCGUCCGUAUUCAAUUGUCAGAGGUGAAAUUCUUGGAUUUAUUGAAGACGAACUACUGCGAAAGCAUUCGCCAAGGAUGUUUUCAUUAAUCAGUGAACGAAAGUUAGGGGAUCGAAGACGAUCAGAUACCGUCGUAGUCUUAACCAUAAACUAUGCCGACUAGGGAUCGGACGGUGGUUUUUUUAUGCCCCGUUCGGCACCUUACGA